RNAcentral lists this long non-coding RNA (1512 nucleotides) under Pogona vitticeps (central bearded dragon). Its description in RNAcentral is "lncRNA (ENSPVIG00000008419.1)". Lineage: Eukaryota; Metazoa; Chordata; Lepidosauria; Squamata; Agamidae. The record is from RNAcentral.
GGUUACUGCUGUUACUGAAGCGUUUCCCACAAUGUAGGCAUUUCUUGCCUCUCAGGGGUUUGUCACGUGAAGUACAUUCACUGUGCAUUGUGACGCUCUUGCCUUUUUCUAUGCACUGACUUCGUUUCUCCUCUAGGUGGACUGUGUCAAGUCUUUUGAUAUCUGAGGCACCCUUGAAUGUUUAUUUGCCUAGGGAAACCUUUGUCCUUUCUUUUGAUUUUUUUCAGGUCAUCAGAAGUGUAUCAAAUUCCCUAGCAGGAGAAGCUGGAGUUUUCUUUAUCUGUUUUUUCCUGGCUUCCCUUCUUCCCCUUUUCCUACUUCUAAGAUUUUUUUGUGCUCCACACUUGGGUUUUGUUUUCAGUGAAAGAAUGACUGGCUCCAUAGAAUUCCUGUCAUCCUCUUCAUCACCUUAUAGAGGAAAAAAAAGAGAUAAAAGAGGAGUGCAACGUAAAAGAAAUAUCUUACUUGUUUGGAGAAGUUCAAAUCCCAAGGGCCCGAUGAAGUGCAUCUAAGGAUACUGAAGGAACAGGUUGAAGAAAUUGCAGAACCACUGUCUAAAUAUUCUCGUGUCAUCAUGGGAGGUGGGUGACGAGCCAGACAGGUGGAGGGGAGCUGACAAUGUCCCUAUCUAUAAAAAGGAGAACCCGGGAACUGCAAACCAUUCAGCCUGACAUCCAUCUCAGCGAAAAUUCUUGAGCAGAUUACAGAACAGACACUUUGCAAGCAGAUUCCAAAGAAGGCAGUUAGAACUGAAAACCGACAUAGAAAGACUGAAGGAACUGGACAUGUAUUGCUUUGAGAAAAAGCGUCUGGGGGGAAGAGAGACGUGAUUUUUUUCUUUUUCUUUUUUCGAACAUGGCGGACGGGUGCUACUUUGUAUUGGUCUGGUCUCUGUGGUUUGUUAUUUGUUUUCUUUUGUUAAAUUGUGUUUAAUUAUUUUUUACCUCAUUUGAUCCUAAAAGCCGGCAUUUCAACAAGAGACAGAAAUGACUGUAAGAGGGAUGGAAUCUCAGGGGGUGAGUGAAAACCUUGGGCUGGGUGUUCUUCUAAGAACAUCAUGGGAGGUUCAGAGUGGCUCCCCCACUUGACAGCAGUACCGUCACUAACAUCCAGAAAAUUGUGGGAACUGAAUGAUCCAUUCAUGAUGGACAGUCUAAUCUCUUGGGACUUAAUCCAUUGGAUUUCUGAACAGGAAGGGCAUUUAGGGUCCUGCUGAAGUCCUGGAUUAACAUCUCAUUUGAAUCUCAAUUUUAAAUUUUGGAUUAGGCUCCCACACCUACCGUCACUUACAGAAAUUGAUGAAGGCUCAGAAGAUGUUCGGAUCAAAUUCCUAACAUUGUUACCAUCUGUACCCAGGACAAGAUUUAUAGGGCAUUUUCUUUUAACAACAUAAUGAGGCUUUAAACUUUAUAGGAUACAGAAAACUUUCCCACCAAGUUUUAUUGAUACACUGCUUUUCAUGGAGAGGGAAGGCAAGAGAAUAUGGUUUGGAUGUAUUUGAAACAUCGUGUA